UGGGGCGUCGCCAAGUGGUAAGGCACCGGUUUUUGGUACCGGCAUUCGUAGGUUCGAAUCCUGCCGCCCCAGCCA
RNAcentral lists this transfer RNA (75 nucleotides) under Sphingomonas xinjiangensis. Its description in RNAcentral is "tRNA-Gln". It matches the Rfam family "tRNA". From Rfam's summary of the family: Transfer RNA (tRNA) molecules are approximately 80 nucleotides in length. Lineage: Bacteria; Pseudomonadati; Pseudomonadota; Alphaproteobacteria; Sphingomonadales; Sphingomonadaceae. The record is from RNAcentral. RNAcentral also lists the same sequence under 5 other names.